This 123-nucleotide ribosomal RNA is filed under the name Neogale vison (American mink). Lineage: Eukaryota; Metazoa; Chordata; Mammalia; Carnivora; Mustelidae. The record is from RNAcentral.
GUCUACGGCCAUACCACCCUGAACGCGCCCGAUCUCGUCUGAUCUCGGAAGCUAAGCAGGGUCGGGCCUGGUUAGUACUUGGAUGGGUGACCUCAUAGGGGACGCAGGCACUCGUCACGGACC